RNAcentral lists this ribosomal RNA (168 nucleotides) under Chaetodon nippon (Japanese butterflyfish). Its description in RNAcentral is "partial 12S ribosomal RNA". The record is from RNAcentral. Lineage: Eukaryota; Metazoa; Chordata; Actinopteri; Chaetodontiformes; Chaetodontidae.
CACCGCGGUUAUACGAGAGACUCAAGUUGAUAGUCAUCGGCGUAAAGAGUGGUUAAGACGAAUAGAAACUAAAGCCAAAUGCCUUCAAAACUGUUAUACGCUCUCGAAGGUGAGAAGCUCAACUACGAAAGUGGCUUUAUUAUAUCUGACUCCACGAAAGCUAGGGUA